GUAACAUUUAAGAUUUUCUUUUUCUUCCUAGUGGAAUUUAUUCCAAUGCUAGUUUAUAUAAUUUAAAGCAUUUACUUAGUUUCUUCUUUCUGUAAAUCAAGACAUUAGACCAUAAGCUUUCUAUUUAUUUAUUAAUAGAUUUGCUUACAUUAUUGAUGCUGAUGUAUCUUGGGGGAUGCUAAUAAAGAUAACAGGGGUGGAGAAGGAAGUUAAGGGUUAAUUCAACCUUUGGCAUGCCCUCUGCUUAUGACUCAGAUCAGUGUGGCAUCUUCUCAUUUGGACUUUAAAUUCUUUCAGGGACUUCUUGAGGACACAAGCAUUACUUCCUGCCGGGGCUCAAAUCUAGCCAAGGAAUACUGAAUGAAUCAGCUACAAACACAAUGAUUCUCCACUGCUGUUUCUUUGGAAAUGAAAUGCUAAAUUGGUGAAGGGCGAUGGGAAAGAGUUAUGGGAAGCAAGAAGGAGCCAAUGAGGGUCCACAGUGCAGCUGUACUAUAGGAUUCCUGAAAGAGCAGUCAGCAUAAGGUCAACUGUAACACCGUGGAGACCAAGGUAGUCUCGACUCAGCAUUCCCGGAGAUGACAGCAGAGAUGGUAGAACAACCACAGCUAUUUAGAUGGACCUGACGCCAACCUGGAAUGUCCAGAAAUCCUGAAUGUGCGGGCAAGGGGUGUGCUGAUCAUGCUGGUGAGCAUUCUGUUUUGUAAAAGUAUAUUGCAAUCCUGAUUGUUUCAAUUCUCUUAAAAAUUAGUUUUGCGCAGUCCUACAAGUAAUUUCUCUGCUGCCUUUUUUUUCUUCCUGACAAUGGUAGAUCCAGGGUCACAAUAAACUCCAUCCAGAAC
This 842-nucleotide long non-coding RNA is filed under the name Equus asinus (donkey). RNAcentral's name for it is "lncRNA (ENSEASG00005033375.1)". Lineage: Eukaryota; Metazoa; Chordata; Mammalia; Perissodactyla; Equidae. The record is from RNAcentral.